Molecule: transfer RNA, 56 nt
Filed under: Impatiens cordata
Lineage: Eukaryota; Viridiplantae; Streptophyta; Magnoliopsida; Ericales; Balsaminaceae
Description: partial tRNA-Phe
Source: RNAcentral
CUACGCACAACCAAGAUGGUAAAGCAAAGGACUGAAAAUCCUCGUGUCACCAGUUC